Molecule: ribosomal RNA, 485 nt
Filed under: uncultured bacterium
Lineage: Bacteria
Description: bacterial SSU rRNA
Rfam family: Bacterial small subunit ribosomal RNA
Source: RNAcentral
AUUGAACGCUGGCGGCAUGCCUUACACAUGCAAGUCGAACGGCAGCACGGGAGCAAUCCUGGUGGCGAGUGGCGAACGGGUGAGUAAUAUAUCGGAACGUGCCCAGUCGUGGGGGAUAACGUAGCGAAAGCUACGCUAAUACCGCAUACGAUCUAUGGAUGAAAGCGGGGGAUCGCAAGACCUCGCGCGAUUGGAGCGGCCGAUAUCAGAUUAGGUAGUUGGUGAGGUAAAGGCUCACCAAGCCGACGAUCUGUAGCUGGUCUGAGAGGACGACCAGCCACACUGGGACUGAGACACGGCCCAGACUCCUACGGAGGCAGCAGUGGGGAAUUUUUGGACAAUGGGCGCAAGCCUGAUCCAGCAAUGCCGCGUGCAGGAUGAAGGCCUCGGUUGUAACUAGCUUUGUACGGUACGAAACGGUAAGACGUCUAUACAGUUUGCUAAUGACGGUACCGUAAGAAUAAGACACCGGCUAACUACGUACG